GGCCCUGGCUGACUUAACCUAAAAAUUCCAACGGUGUCAGAAUGGAGUGUUCAAAAAUUCAAAAAAUCUUCUACCUUCGAGUUUCUGAAAUUGAGACUACGGGAGUGCACCAAUCGAUUUCUUAUGAAAAACUGCAUGUAUAUAAAUUACUGACAAAAACGAUCAAUGUCCGUAAAAUUCUGCUUCAUUUGAACUUAGUUUACUAUUUAAUAACAGUGAUAUUUGUAGAUCAAAAUUUCAUGUACCUAUUUUGAGGAAAAUUAACAAAAGACUAAGGAGACCAGAACAGGUGUACAAUAAUGAAGCCCUGCAAGACUUCACGAAGAGGAGAUCAAGAUGGGAUGAGAACAAAUUGUUCGUUGAUUUAGCAAACUAAGUUCCACUUCAACAUUAAUGUGAGUAAUUUUUUUUUUGACAUAACAGUUAUGAGAGGGAGAAACAAUGUCUUUGACCGAAUAUGUCAAGAGCCAUCGACCUUAGGUCCUUCAGCUCAGUACAAUUAAUAUAAAUCAAAUUUUAUUGAGAAACAAAAAGAACAAAUAAAUUUCUACAGUGUAUACACAAUGAUUUCAGGAAAGUUUGAAGGUUUUAAGUGUUUGUGUUGUCAGCUCUUCUCAAUUUUUAUAAUAGUGUAGCCGUGGGAAAUUUACUUCUCGUUCUUGAGUUCUCCUCAUCAUGAUAUAGAUGUAAUAUCGUCGUUGAGCUGAGAAAUCCUCGCAAGCGACAAAUAUCUGAUUUUACAGGAAGCACAUAAAACUGUUUUAUGACUUCAAUUCAUUUCAACAAUAUAUGAUUUUCUGGGAAACUGUAUAAG
This is a long non-coding RNA of Coccinella septempunctata (seven-spotted ladybird), 814 nucleotides long. RefSeq lists it as uncharacterized. NCBI's taxonomy places the organism in Eukaryota, Metazoa, Arthropoda, Insecta, Coleoptera, Coccinellidae. The transcript is spliced from 2 exons. The record is from RefSeq and is a predicted model, not a curated record.